Non-coding RNA from Marmota flaviventris (yellow-bellied marmot), 1989 nucleotides. NCBI's taxonomy places the organism in Eukaryota, Metazoa, Chordata, Mammalia, Rodentia, Sciuridae. The record is from RefSeq and is a predicted model, not a curated record.
CGGCGACGCGGGGUUGACAGGCGCAGAUGGCGGCGGCGCAGGGCUCCUGAGCCGGAGGCGGCCAUGAGCGCCGCCCGGCCCCAGUUCAGCAUCGAUGAUGCCUUCGAGUUGUCCCUGGAGGACGCGGGUCCCGGGCCCGAGUCCAGCGGGGUCGCCCGCUUCGGGCCGCUGCACUUCGAGCGCCGGGCCCGGUUCGAGGUUGCCGACGAGGACAAGCAGUCCCGGCUGCGCUACCAGAACCUGGAGAAUGAUGAGGAUGGAGCCCAGGCCUCGCCAGAACCGGAUGGGGGAGUCAGCACCAGGGAUUCUGGCGGAACAUCUAUGCGCAGCUCCCAGUGGUCCUUUAGCACCAUCAGCAACAGCACCCAGCACACCUACCAUUCCUGCUGCAGCUGGACCAAACAUCCUUUGAUCCAGAAGAACCUCCGGGUUGUGCUGGCCUCCUUCCUGCUCCUGCUGCUGGGGACAGGAAGGUCAAAGCCCCCAUCAGCCAGGCCCCCUGGCCAGAAAGCCUGGCCCGGCUCCAGGUGUUUGAGUGCAGAGGAGAGAGCUGCUACUUUCCAUCACCACUGCACACUGGGCACUAAUGGCACUGGCCACUGGCGCGCUCUCCACAACCUAGCAAAGCAAGCAUCAUUGCCAUCCCAGCUUUGGAAAUAAGGACACAGGUCAGGCAGGUGAAGGGCCUUGCCCAGGUUGCAAGUUGAUGAGCUGGGAUUUAAGCCCACAUCUGUGACUGCCAGGCCUGGAGGCCACCAGCAACCCACAGAGGGCCCUUGAAGAAAUUAGAAAAACAGGGCAGAGCCUGCAGCAGCUCUAGGCCAAGGUGCAGGGAGAGAGAGGGGACCACUUUUUGAGGCUUUCUGUGCAUACACAAAGCAGGCAACAGUCCAUGGUGGCCCUCAAGCCCCAGGCUGUACCACCUCUCUUGCUGUACCCUGCCCUCUGUCAAUCCUCUAAGUGGGAACUGAGGACUGUGGGUCUGAAAAGUAGACCUAGGCAUGACCUCUCCACCUUCCCCCAAACGCACUGUCUUCCACCAAAGUCCGUAUCCCUACCUGGUGCUAUAAGCCCUACCAUCCCUCCUGCCUGCGCUCUUCCUGUCCAGUCUUGCCAAACGCCAGAAGCUCUUAGAAAGCCUAGUUCCCUCCAAAUUCCGAGCCUUUGCUGUGCUAUUCCCCUGUCUGAAUUCUCUCUCUGCCUGAAUGGCGCCCCCAGCAAAGCCUCUAGAGUUAGCCAGCCUCCACCUUCCACCUGCUGCCAGAGGAAGUGACUUCCCCUCUCUGUGCCUCAGUUUCAUCUUAUACCUGUCUCAUUUGGUCAAGGUGACAGUUAAAUAAGGCAGUGCAUGUAACACACUUAGCCCAGUGGCUGGCAGAGCCUGGUAAGUGAUCUUUAAGUAUUAACUGUGAUUGCUAUUGCUAUUGCCACCCUUGCUCAGCUUAGAUGUCACUGCCUCCGGGAACCCUCUCCCUGGUCCCCUGGCUGGCUCCAGCAGGACUCCUCUGGAUUCCCACACUGCCCUGUUCUUCCCCACCAUAUCCCGAUCACCUGGGUUAUAGCUUUCAGGUUCUCCUUGGACCCUUCACUAAGGAAGGGCCAUGAGGGCAGAGACCUCAUUUCCCUUUCGCCUGGGAAUUCCCAGUACCAUGCAUGCAGGAGGUGUCCCCUAAGUAUUAGCAGAAUGACAGGUCACACCAAACUCAUUUCACAGACAUUCCGCAGGGCCUGCCAAGUGCCCUGCUCUGAAGACAGAACUUGGUGAACUUCCUGGGGAGGGUCUCCACCCAGGGGCAUCUGCUCAGGCGGGGGACACCAUUCCUCGGCCUGAGCCUGGUUGUGGGGUGGGGGUGGAAGUCCCGCCCUCACCCCGCGGCCAUCUGUGUGCAGCGCUGAUCCUGGUCGGCGUGGGACUGGAGGCGGCCCCCUCGCCAGGUGUCUCCAGCGCCAUCUUCUUCGUGCCAGGCUUCCUGCUGCUGGUCCCAGGAG